RNAcentral lists this ribosomal RNA (483 nucleotides) under uncultured Oscillospiraceae bacterium. RNAcentral describes it as "partial 16S ribosomal RNA". The record is from RNAcentral. Lineage: Bacteria; Bacillati; Bacillota; Clostridia; Eubacteriales; Oscillospiraceae.
CACGUAGUUAGCCGGAGCUUUCUUGCAGGGUACCGUCAUUUUCGUCCCCUGCGACAGAACUUUACAACCCGAAGGCCGUCUUCAUUCACGCGGCAUCGCUGCAUCAGGGUUUCCCCCAUUGUGCAAUAUCCCCCACUGCUGCCUUCCGUAGGAGUCUGGGCCGUGUCUCAGUCCCAAUGUGGCCGUUCAACCUCUCAGUCCGGCUACCGAUUGUCGGUUUGGUGGGCCGUUACCCCGCCAACUGCCUAAUCGGACGCGAGCCCAUCUUUCAGCGGAUUACUCCUUUGAUAUCAGUGCCAUGCGACUCCGAUAUUUUAUGCGGUAUUAGCGUUCGUUUCCAAACGUUAUCCCCCUCUGAAAGGCAGGUUGCUCACGUGUUACUCACCCGUCCGCCACUAAGUUCAGAUGCGAGCAUCUUCACUCCGUUCGACUUGCAUGUGUUAGGCGUGCCGCCAGCGUCGUCUGUAGCCAGGAGUCAACUAC